RNAcentral lists this ribosomal RNA (328 nucleotides) under uncultured Bacteroidota bacterium. RNAcentral's name for it is "bacterial SSU rRNA". It matches the Rfam family "Bacterial small subunit ribosomal RNA", at positions 28 to 351 of the family's 1533-position model. The record is from RNAcentral. Lineage: Bacteria; Pseudomonadati; Bacteroidota.
GAUGAACGCUAGCGGCAGGCUUAAUACAUGCAAGUCGUGGGGCAGCACAGGUAGCAAUACUGGGUGGCGACCGGCAAACGGGUGCGGAACACGUACGCAACCUUCCUUUAAGUGGGGGAUAGCCCCAGGGGAAACUUGGAUUAAUACCCCUUAACAUUAUGAGAUGGCAUCAUUUUAUAAUUAAAGCUCCGGCGCUUAAAGAUGGGCGUGCGCCUGAUUAGGUAGUUGGCGGGGUAACAGCCCACCAAGCCUACGAUCAGUAACUGGUGUGAGAGCACGACCAGUCACACGGGCACUGAGACACGGGCCCGACUCCUACGGGUGGCAG